UUGUGUCCUGUCCGUGCAACCUGAUGGGACCCUGCACGACACCG
This 44-nucleotide transfer RNA is filed under the name Palpitomonas bilix. RNAcentral describes it as "partial Selenocysteine transfer RNA". The record is from RNAcentral.